GGAGAAGGAAAGUCGCUCAAGCAGUGGACAGAGCGGAGAAAGCGACUUCGGCCGCAGAGAGAAGAAGCUGCCCAAGAAUGGAAAGGAAGAAAUAUAUCACAUCAUCUGUCUGUCCACAGGCUUUCCUUGGGGCUUAUGAAGUGAAUGAAGGAGGGAAGAAAGGAGAGACAGAGAAAAUAUGGAUUUCCUCAUGGUUGUGAUUCCUCUUCACUCUUUUGAAUUUGGAAGGAUGGCAUACACAUCUGAAAAAUAGUUCCUAGUAGCUAUCAUAUGCCGAAUGGAUAGCUCAACUGUUCACAAGUGAGUGAGCCCAAAAUGAUGAGAAUUGCCAGGGCAGCAGGCCUACCCCAUAAAAAGCCUUUUUAACUGAAAAUGUUUUUAGUUUCCCCAGA
Molecule: long non-coding RNA, 392 nt
Filed under: Homo sapiens (human)
Lineage: Eukaryota; Metazoa; Chordata; Mammalia; Primates; Hominidae
Description: SOX2 overlapping transcript
Source: RNAcentral